RNAcentral lists this long non-coding RNA (334 nucleotides) under Olea europaea (common olive). RNAcentral's name for it is "long non-coding RNA (OEUR_LNC001496)". Lineage: Eukaryota; Viridiplantae; Streptophyta; Magnoliopsida; Lamiales; Oleaceae. The record is from RNAcentral.
UCAGAGAAGAGAAUUACGCAGAGAGGUAUAUUAGGCUGAUCAGCCUCCCUUUCUAGAGGCCUAAAGAGAGAAACCAUGGCCUCUAUAACCUCACAAUCCUUCUUUUCUCUCUCUAAACCCAAAUCCGACAGUAAUAAUACCGUUAAAUCUUCCUUCAUCCACCACCUCAAACAACCCUCCUCCACCAUCAAGAUUUUCCGGAAACCAAAGGAUAAGCAGCGAUCAUUGUCGGUGGUGGUGGCCUCGGUGGACAACGAACUUGACGUCAUCCCCGUGCAGAGUGACGACAGAGUUGACCAGCAAAGUGGCGUCGUAUGUAUGGAGAGGGAAACAG